This 204-nucleotide ribosomal RNA is filed under the name uncultured bacterium. RNAcentral's name for it is "partial 16S ribosomal RNA". It matches the Rfam family "Bacterial small subunit ribosomal RNA", at positions 524 to 724 of the family's 1533-position model. The record is from RNAcentral.
UACGGAGGUCCGAAGCGUUAUCCGGAUUUAUUGGGUUAAAGGGUGCGUAGGCGGCCUAUUAAGGUCAGAGGUGAAAGACGGUAAGCUCAACUAUCGCAGUGCCUUUGAUUAACUGAUGGGCUUGAAUGAACUAGAGGUAGGCGGAAUGAGACAAGUAGCGGUAAAAUGCAUAGAUAUGUCUCAGAACACCGAUUGCGAAGGCAG